This 468-nucleotide ribosomal RNA is filed under the name uncultured bacterium. RNAcentral describes it as "partial 16S ribosomal RNA". It matches the Rfam family "Bacterial small subunit ribosomal RNA", at positions 28 to 507 of the family's 1533-position model. The record is from RNAcentral.
GACGAACGCUGGCGGCGUGCUUAACACAUGCAAGUCGAACGGAAAGGCCCUGCAUGUUUGUGGUGCUCGAGUGACGAACGGGUGAGUAACACGUGAGUAACCUGCCCUUGACUUUGGGAUAACUUCAGGAAACUUGGGCUAAUACCGGAUAGGAGCUCCUGCUGCAUGGUGGGGGUUGGAAAGUUUCGGCGGUUGGGGAUGGACUCGCGGCUUAUCAGCUUGUUGGUGGGGUAGUGGCUGACCAAGGCUUUGACGGGUAGCCGGCCUGAGAGGGUGACCGGCCACCUUGGGACUGAGAUACGGACCAGAGUCCUACGGGAGGCAGCAGUGGGGAAUAUUGCACAAUGGGCGGAAGCCUGAUGCAGCAACGCCGCGUGCGGGAUGACGGCCUGCGGGUUGUAAAACGCUUUCGCUUGUGACGAAGCGUGAGUGACGGUAAUGGGUAAAGAAGCACCGGCUAACUACGUG